RNA transcript from Drosophila subobscura, 3574 nucleotides. It is a transcript of the gene named dystrobrevin beta, with no coding region annotated. NCBI's taxonomy places the organism in Eukaryota, Metazoa, Arthropoda, Insecta, Diptera, Drosophilidae. The transcript is spliced from 10 exons. The record is from RefSeq and is a predicted model, not a curated record.
CACACUGGUGCACAUCUCAUGUUUAUUUUUUAAAAACUUGGUAAACAAAAUUGAUAAGAUAUGCGCUGGUACCAACACGUCAACGCCAAACUCUCGUGCGAAAGUUUAUCUGCGCCCCCUCUCUCGCCUUCUUCAUUCAUCUAAACGUGUAUAUGUGCUCUAGCGCGGAUUCAAACUCGGCUCUGCUGCCCUGGCUCUACCGCGCGUGUGUGUGUGUGUGUAAAAGAAGUUUAUUGGCUUAAAAUAUUUGUACAAAGGGCCAAAGGGCGCAGCCUCUCUGGCAAGUGAAAUUUUUGCAGUCCGAACAGCAGGUGAAAUUAAAUCGAAAUCAAAAAAAGUUAAGAGGAAAAACAGUUAGUUACAAGAAGUGAAGAAGAAGCAGCAGCUCAGCCGCAACUCCAUCGAAGACGCGCAGGGCAAAAAGUGACGCAUAAGAAACGUUGCUAAUUACAAAAGCCAGCACAUCAGAAUGGAGCUGGAGCCGCGGGUGGCCAUCCUGCAGGAUCUGCGUCUACAGACCUUCGAUUCCAUACGCUUCGCCUCGUACAGGACAGCCUCGAAGCUGCGCUACAUACAGAAGUCGACAAAUCUGCACUUGGUGGACAUUUGGAACGUGAUCGAGGCAUUCCGCGAGAAUGGACUGAACACUCUGGAGCCACAGAGCGAGGUCAGUGUGGCACGGCUGGAGACGCUCGUGUCCUCGCUGUAUCACAAUCUGAACAAACGUCUGCCCACCGCCCAGCAGGUGCCGGUGGACUCCAAGGCGGGUCUCUUGCUCAACUGGCUGCUUGCUGCCUAUACAAGUGAUAACUCGGGAAAGAUUCGUGUGUUCUCCAUCAAAGUGGCACUGGCCACCAUGUGCUCUGGCAAGCUGGUGGACAAACUUAGAUAUAUCUUUUCACAGAUUUCGGAUGGAGCCGGACAGCUGGUGGCCUGGAAGUUGGGGGAAUUCCUGCGGGAGGUGCUGGCAUUGCCGGCGGCUGUCUAUGAGUCGCCCACAUUCCAUUACAAGGAGGGGCUCGAGGAGGAGAUCUUUCCGGCGGAGAACAAGGUGACGGUGAACGAUUUUAUGGCAACACUUAUGUCCGAACCGGGCCCCUCGUGCCUCGUGUGGCUGCCACUGCUGCACAGGCUGGCCACCGUGGAGACGAUUGUGCAUCCGACGAUCUGCUCUGUUUGCCACAAGGAAAACUUCACCGGAUUUCGUUACCGUUGUCAGCGGUGCCACGCCUACCAAUUGUGCCAGGAGUGCUUUUGGCACGGCAAGACAUCGCUGAAUCACCAAAACGAUCACGAGGUCAAGGAGUACUCGAGCUACAAGUCGCCCAGCAAACAGAUUGGUCACUCGCUGCGCAAGAGCUUCCGCUGUGUGCCCGAGAAGACGACGCAAGUGUUGCCACGGUUCCCGGACCAGCCCGAAAAGACCCUCAACCUGUCGCACAUCGUGCCGCCCUCGCCCUUGCCCUCGCACAACGGUUUCAACGAUCCCACGCUGGCCCUCGCCGGCGCCCACCACGGCCACCUACCGCCCGGCAUCUUCGACCGCUCCAGCACCCUCGACUCGCGGGCCACCGGCCGCAGCAUAGACAGUGCCGCCUGCACUGGCGGCGGCGGCACCACCAUCUCUAGGCUAGCCGCCGCCUCGGCCAACGAUGAGGAGCAUCGCCUGAUUGCCCGCUAUGCGGCACGUCUGGCCCAGGAGAACCGAGCACCUUCGAAUAUGUCGGAGAGUGCCACGCCCAUUGGCACGGACAACUCGCGUGCCCAGCGUGAGCUGAUCGCCCAGUUGGAGUCGAAGAACAAGGAGAUUAUGCGGGAGAUAGCCCGCCUGCGUCGCCAGCAGGAGACCGAGCAGAUGGCCCCCGAGAAUCCGGCCCUGAUCAACGAGUUGCGUGCGUUGCGACAGCGCAAAGGGGAGCUGGAGGGUCAUCUCGGUGCGUUGCAGGACUCGCGCCGCCAGCUAAUGGAGCAACUGGAGGGACUAAUGCGAAUGCUGAAGAACCAGCAGACUGCCUCGCCCCGGUCCACGCCCAACUCGAGUCCUCGCUCGGGCAAGUCGCCGCCCAUGCCGGGCGGAGGGGGAGCCGGCAUCCUUGGCACUUCGCCGAUGAGUGCCCUGCAUGCCCAGCAAAUGCAGCAUCCAAUGGGUGGACCUGGAGUGAGGGUCAGCCAGCAGCAAAUGAUGCAGGCCCAGCAGCAACAACAGAUGCAGCAGCAGCAGCAACAGCAGGGACAUGGACCCUUCAGCCAGAGCCAACUGGAUCAGCUCAAUUUGAUCAGCACCGACAUGCGCAGCGCCUUUGCGGCCAAUGGCAGUGCAACGCCACCGCCAAUGCGCACCAACAGUCCCACCAAUGCCAGUCCCAGUCCAGCCGAUGCCGAGCUCAAUGAGGCCGCCGAUAAUAUAACCUCGGCCAUAACCCACAUGGUCAGCGACCUGAAUGCAGGACGGGCAGCGGGACCUGGACAAAGUGGAAGCUCCCUGCCCCAGGCUCGUUUCAUACUGCCGCUGGAAUAUCGUCACGUCGAGGGCGGCGAGUCCUCGGGCUCGAGUCAGUGCGAGUGUAACGAGUGCAACUGCCAGGUGUAUGAGGAGAUCUUCCGCACCGACGGGGAGUACGAGUGCCAAGGCGCCUCUGCCGUCGGGACGACGCAGCCAGGCUCUGAUUCAGAUAUGGAUGAUUCCCGCUUGUCGCCGGUUCAUUUCGAUUAUACUUUUGGCCUUGGCGAUGAGCAGUCGCAGGUGAACCGCAUUCUGGGCUAUCGGAACCAUCCCGAACUCUUCAUCGACGAUGACCAGGCGGGGUUCCCGGGCCUGCACGAGAUCGGUGAGACAAUCGAUGAACUGCAGUUGAUAAUGCACGCUUAUAUCAUGAAGUAUAGUUUGAAUAUAUAAUCCGUUCGUCGUUAGGUUACAAGAUAUACUCCUCGUUCAGAUUUCGACGAAUCUCAAUCAUAUAACCAAGAGUGGACCGAAAAGGCAAAUGCGAAUAGCCAAUGGCAGGAGCAGUUUGCACAAUGGAGUCUUAAUUCACAAAAUAACUAAUUCGUCUCAGUGGAUAAGUGCAGGAGGAUACCCACCAGGAGAACAGCAGCGGCAGCAGCAGCAGCAGCAGCAGCAAUGGACUGGAACACACUGGGUUGGAGGAGUACUCGUACGCGGCAGCUGAUACCAUGCAGAAGGCGACUCUCGCUUAGCUUUUUAUCUUAACUCAUAUGUUGACUUAGAGCAAUUUAUUUAUUGAUUAUUUUAUGGGGUAGUCGUAGCCUACACUAAUCCUUAAUCCUUACAAUUUAUACUUUUGCGCAGCGGUAUAGUACCGCACCUACAUAUUUAUAUUAUUAUAUUUUAUGCAAACACACAGUAAAGAAGCAAUGAAUAAGACUCGCAGUUGCACUGCACUCUGAAGUCGCAAAUCUCUUGAAUCUCGUGGAAACUUUCGAUGUUCGUACUCCCCAUGAAGCAGAUGGGAGCAUGGAUAGAUGGAGAGUUUUUUUAAUUUAGGUUUUUACGAUUUCGUAUUUGGCUUUUAGACUUUUAAGCGCCUGCAUAAGCGGAUAUUUAUUAACAAAG